Long non-coding RNA from Xiphophorus maculatus (southern platyfish), 1605 nucleotides. RefSeq lists it as uncharacterized. The record is from RefSeq and is a predicted model, not a curated record. The transcript has 2 exons. NCBI's taxonomy places the organism in Eukaryota, Metazoa, Chordata, Actinopteri, Cyprinodontiformes, Poeciliidae.
UGUUCAGACUGGAAGUCCUUCCAGUCCAAUCAAGACAUUUCAGAGAUAUUGAUCAUUGAUAACAGCUGAACCGGACCAGAGCUUUAAAGCCUAAAACAAGAUUUCAAACAUUUCUGACCCGUUUAAACUCAAAGUCCAUGAAUGUAAUUGAAGCUGAUGACGUAGUCGUUCUCCUGACCUCUGACCUCUGAAGUAAAGCUUCAGUUUCUGAACCAGGCCUGUUGACUGGUCUCCAUGGAAACGGACCCAGAAGGUUGUCGUGUGACGAUCAAAUGGAGAUUUGCAUGAAUAACUCGGAUGUUUGCAUGAGAGGAAGAGGAAGAGGAGGAAGACAAGGCAGCCUUUCAGCCGCUGGCCGCCUGCAGCAGCACCAGUAGCAGUCUGUGACGCUGGGCUGCAGGAAGGACCCCUGACUGAGCGUCAUUCAUCACAAUCAACUGUAGCAAAAGUCUUCACACCCCUCUGACCCAGUUCUUGUUUAUGUGACGAGAACCAGAAGAAAACGGACAAAAAUCUGAAAGGUGUGUCAUUCACCGCCCCUUUACUCCGACACCCCGAAAUCAACCAGAAGAGCCAAAACAGAAUUUACCACAAACCAGAUCAUAACUGGGGAAAGAUUCAUAUCACAAAUAAAAAUCUGAAAAGUGUGGUGUGCAUUUUAUUCUGCCACUGUUCCUCUGAUGCUCCUUCAUAAAAACUCCUUCAGUCACCUGAAGCGUCCGGCUCAGAAACGAGAAGAGAGACAGAAAGUCACAUUGAUCAGGACCUUUACUACAUCGAUACAGCACUGCAAUAAUCACCACACACACACACACACACACACACACACACACACACACACACACACACACACACACACACACACACACACACACACACAGGAUAAGGUAUUAACCACAAGCAAUGAAAAACCAGCAGAAAGUUUCAGACUGAAACAGAUUUGAGGUAGAAAUCCAUCAGAUAGAUCAGCUGAAGCUCUUUUGUCUCUUAAAUUACCCAAGAUAAAAAAAAUAACCCAAAGAAACGCUGCAGAAAUAUUCAUUGAGCAGAAAACCCAAAACUUUCUUCAUUUAAACCAUAAAAACCCAUCAGCAGGCGAGGAGCCGGAUCCGGGCAGGUUCAGUACUGGACUGGUUCUGGACCGGGUCAGCAGCAGCUGCAGCUCUUUUUGCUUCAACUCAUCAACCAUUGAAUCAGGGGCCCAAACUUUUUGCCCUGUGGGCCAAAACAGACUAAUUUAAAGCAGCUAAAUGUCAUUGAAUUAAAAAUGCAAAAAUUUGUGAUUAUUAAAUUUUUUUCUUUUUUAGUUUUACCUGCUCAACAAAAGUUUUUUUAAUAAAAUCUGAUGAAACUGCAAAAACACUAAAUCUGACCAAGUAUUUAAAGUUUCUAGAGCAAACAUCUCAGCUGACAUGAAAUAAGACAAAACUAACUUACAUUAAAAUUUGGUGAAAACGUUAGCAGAUUAUUUCAGCGUCUCGUUAUGAGUGAAAUUAUUGGCCUUAUUUCUUAUUAAGACUUUUGUGCUACAAACUGUAAAUACUUGGUCAGGUUUUGUGUUUUACAUAAAAAGACCUUCGGACUGUUGGCUUAUUAAAAGAAAAA